Molecule: ribosomal RNA, 452 nt
Filed under: uncultured bacterium
Lineage: Bacteria
Description: bacterial SSU rRNA
Rfam family: Bacterial small subunit ribosomal RNA
Source: RNAcentral
AACGAACGCUGGCGGCAGGCUUAACACAUGCAAGUCGAGCGAAGACUUCGGUCUUAGCGGCAGACGGGAGAGUAACACGUGGGAACGCGCCCUUCGGUUCGGGAUAACCCAGGGAAACUUGGGCUAAUACCGGAUACGCCCUUACGGGGAAAGAUUUAUUGCCGAAGGAACGGCCCGCGUCCGAUUAGCUAGUUGGUGAGGUAAUGGCUCACCAAGGCGACGAUCGGUAGCUGGUCUGAGAGGAUGACCAGCCUCACUGGGACUGAGACACGGCCCAGACUCCUACGGGAGGCAGCAGUGGGGAAUAUUGGACAAUGGGCGCAAGCCUGAUCCAGCCAUGCCGCGUGGGUGAUGAAGGCCCUAGGGUUGUAAAGCCCUUUCAGCGGGGAAGAUAAUGACGGUACCCGCAGAAGAAGCCCCGGCUAACUUCGUGCCAGCCGCCGCAGUAAAAC